GUUGAACGCUGGCGGCAGGCCUAACACAUGCAAGUCGAGCGGAUGAAGGGAGCUUGCUCCUGGAUUCAGCGGCGGACGGGUGAGUAAUGCCUAGGAAUCUGCCUGGUAGUGGGGGAUAACGUCCGGAAACGGGCGCUAAUACCGCAUACGUCCUGAGGGAGAAAGUGGGGGAUCUUCGGACCUCACGCUAUCAGAUGAGCCUAGGUCGGAUUAGCUAGUUGGUGGGGUAAAGGCCUACCAAGGCGACGAUCCGUAACUGGUCUGAGAGGAUGAUCAGUCACACUGGAACUGAGACACGGUCCAGACUCCUACGGGAGGCAGCAGUGGGGAAUAUUGGACAAUGGGCGAAAGCCUGAUCCAGCCAUGCCGCGUGUGUGAAGAAGGUCUUCGGAUUGUAAAGCACUUUAAGUUGGGAGGAAGGGCAGUAAGUUAAUACCUUGCUGUUUUGACGUUACCAACAGAAUAAGCACCGGCUAACUUCGU
RNAcentral lists this ribosomal RNA (483 nucleotides) under uncultured bacterium. RNAcentral's name for it is "partial 16S ribosomal RNA". It matches the Rfam family "Bacterial small subunit ribosomal RNA", at positions 28 to 506 of the family's 1533-position model. The record is from RNAcentral.